Molecule: ribosomal RNA, 451 nt
Filed under: uncultured bacterium
Lineage: Bacteria
Description: bacterial SSU rRNA
Rfam family: Bacterial small subunit ribosomal RNA
Source: RNAcentral
GUGGGGAAUAUUGCGCAAUGGGGGAAACCCUGACGCAGCAACGCCGCGUGAGUGAUGAAGGCCUUCGGGUCGUAAAGCUCUGUCAGGUGGGAAGAAGAAGCAGAUCCCAAAUAAGGAUCUACCUUGACUGUACCACCAGAGGAAGCACCGGCUAACUCCGUGCCAGCAGCCGCGGUAAUACGGAGGGUGCAAGCGUUGUUCGGAAUUAUUGGGCGUAAAGCGCAUGUAGGCGGCCAAGCAAGUCAGGCGUGAAAUCCCUUGGCUCAACCAAGGACCGUCGUCUGAAACUGCUCGGCUUGAGUACGGGAGAGGAGAGUGGAAUUCCCGGUGUAGAGGUGAAAUUCGUAGAUAUCGGGAGGAACACCCGUGGCGAAGGCGACUCUCUGGACCGAUACUGACGCUGAGAUGCGAAAGCGUGGGGAGCAAACAGGAUUAGAUACCCCAGUAGUCC